RNAcentral lists this microRNA precursor (75 nucleotides) under Myotis lucifugus (little brown bat). RNAcentral describes it as "mir-9193 microRNA precursor family". Lineage: Eukaryota; Metazoa; Chordata; Mammalia; Chiroptera; Vespertilionidae. The record is from Rfam by way of RNAcentral.
CGUGCACUUGGGGAGGUCCCUCAGCCCGGUUUACAAGAGGAUGCAGGCAAGGCCGAGGGACCCCACAGGUGCAUG